This 253-nucleotide ribosomal RNA is filed under the name uncultured bacterium. RNAcentral describes it as "partial 16S ribosomal RNA". It matches the Rfam family "Bacterial small subunit ribosomal RNA", at positions 524 to 776 of the family's 1533-position model. The record is from RNAcentral.
UACAGAGGGUGCGAGCGUUAAUCGGAAUUACUGGGCGUAAAGCGUGCGUAGACGGCUAUCUAAGUCGGGUGUGAAAGCCCCGGGCUCAACCUGGGAAUUGCAUUCGAGACUGAAUAGCUAGGGUACGGUAGAGGGAAGUGGAAUUUCCGGUGUAGCGGUGAAAUGCGUAGAUAUCGGAAGGAACAUCAGUGGCGAAGGCAGCUCGCUGGGACGUUACUGACGCUGAGGAGCGAAAGCGUGGGUAGCAAACAGG